GACGAACGCUGGCGGCGUGCUUAACACAUGCAAGUCGAACGGAAAGGCCCUGCUUUUGUGGGGUGCUCGAGUGGCGAACGGGUGAGUAACACGUGAGUAACCUGCCCUUGACUUUGGGAUAACUUCAGGAAACUGGGGCUAAUACCGGAUAGGAGCUCCUGCUGCAUGGUGGGGGUUGGAAAGUUUCGGCGGUUGGGCAUGGACUCGCGGCUUAUCAGCUUGUUGGUGGGGUAGUGGCUUACCAAGGCUUUGACGGGUAGCCGGCCUGAGAGGGUGACCGGCCACAUUGGGACUGAGAGACGGCCCAGACUCCUACGGGAGGCAGAAGUGGGGAAUAUUGCACAAUGGGCGGAAGCCUGAUGCAGCAACGCCGCGUGCGGGAUGACGGCCUUCGGGUUGGAAACUGCUUUCGCCUGUGACGAAGCGUGAGUGACGGUAAUGGGUAAAGAAGCACCGGCUAACUACGUG
This 468-nucleotide ribosomal RNA is filed under the name uncultured bacterium. Its description in RNAcentral is "partial 16S ribosomal RNA". It matches the Rfam family "Bacterial small subunit ribosomal RNA", at positions 28 to 507 of the family's 1533-position model. The record is from RNAcentral.